Molecule: long non-coding RNA, 670 nt
Organism: Strigops habroptila (Kakapo)
Lineage: Eukaryota; Metazoa; Chordata; Aves; Psittaciformes; Psittacidae
Exons: 3
Source: RefSeq, a predicted model, not a curated record
CAGCGCCGUUGCCUGGUUUCCACACGCCGCUCCGCCAAUAGGAGCUGAGGGAGAGGUGAUUGCUAUAGCGACCGUAGAGCAACUGACCAAUCGCAGCACAGCUUCUUGGCGGAGCCUUUUAAGCACGGCCAAUGAGGCAGGGCGGCGCGCUGGCUUUCUGGGGUCGCCAUUUUGCGGCUCGCCUGAGGCGAGCGGGUCGAGUGCUGCCGCGUCUCGGCCGUCGGGCAGACUGCAGCGGCCCCGCAGCUCGGAGCCUCCGUAGAGGCGACCGAGAGGUCCCUCUCAGGCCCUCUACUUCAGGGCUCGUCGGCGGUUGUGCCCCCUGGCUGUGGCCGGUGUGUCCCUAGGAGGCGGUUCCCCUUGCCGGGUGUCACAGGCACGGCCCUGGUGGGAGUUGGGCUCUCGAUCCCCCGCUCCCUGUGGCUGUUUGCCAGUCUGCUCCUCUCAGGCUUCAGCACCAAUUCCCAGUGCCUGGUGCGUGAAGGAAUAAGGAAAUCAGGUGUAGUGGAGGUGCUCCGCUAGGCGAGGAUCCAUGCGCAGCUUAUCAUCUAGAGCCAGGUGGUUCUUUUGCAGCUCCUCCACCGCCUGUUGGGGGAGCAAGCAACCAUGAGUUAGGGUAAUGGAGAGGAGAGCAAGGAGCAAAGGCACACAGAAGUGCAACUCAAAGUUU